GUGCCAGCCGCCGCGGUAAUACGAAGGUCCCGAGCGUUGUUCGGAAUCACUGGGCGUAAAGGGAGCGUAGGCGGUGCGGUAAGUCAGAUGUGAAAUCCCGGGGCUCAACCCCGGAACUGCAUCCGAUACUGCCGUGCUAGAGUGAUGGAGAGGUAGCUGGAAUUCACGGUGUAGCAGUGAAAUGCGUAGAUAUCGUGAGGAACACUCGUGGCGAAAGCGAGCUACUGGACAUUUACUGACGCUGAGGCUCGAAGGCUAGGGUAGCGAAAGGGAUUAGAAACCCCGGUAGUCC
Molecule: ribosomal RNA, 292 nt
Filed under: uncultured bacterium
Lineage: Bacteria
Description: partial 16S ribosomal RNA
Rfam family: Bacterial small subunit ribosomal RNA
Source: RNAcentral